CUAAUGUUUGCGAUUAGCUUUUUUAUUUUAAAAGAUUGGCAAUUACUGAGGCAAGUUUUCAAGAAACAUAUCAACAUCCAAGAGUUCACUACUAUCUUCCACCAUUUCAGCAAUACGGUUAUCCUUUGUCUGUUCUGAAUUGCCAUUCUCAGCUGCUGGUCUUCAGUGACAGUUGUCUGCAAGACCGACUGGGAAGGUUGAGGAAAAACAGUACUACAUUCUUUGGUUGUCUGUUCCAUUAUGUUGUCAAACUGUACAUCUGUGUUUAUCAAAUUUUCCUCAGCCGUUGCUUCAAUUUCUGAUUCUUCCAUGCGAAAUUUCUUCAUGUAUACCUAGUCAUGUAAAAAAUAAAACAACUAUUUGCUGAUCCACAA
Daphnia magna is the source of this 374-nucleotide long non-coding RNA. RefSeq lists it as uncharacterized. NCBI's taxonomy places the organism in Eukaryota, Metazoa, Arthropoda, Branchiopoda, Diplostraca, Daphniidae. The transcript is spliced from 2 exons. The record is from RefSeq and is a predicted model, not a curated record.